UCAAACUUGGUCAUUUAGAGGAAGUAAAAGUCGUAACAAGGUUUCCGUAGGUGAACCUGCGGAAGGAUCAUUACAAAUCUUUUGCGAGUCUGCGUGCUUAACUGUGCGCAGUUCUCACACAUUAGCACAGGGCCGCAAGGUUCUGAUGUUUACGCUUGUAUGUUUGACAGAGUUAGUUGAGAAUAAACAAAGACAACUUUUAACAAUGGAUCUCUUGGCUCUUUAGAGGAAGUAAAAGUCGUAACAAGGUUUCCGUAGGUGAACCUGCGGAAGGAUCAUUACAAAUCUUUUGCGAGUCUGCGUGCUUAACUGUGCGCAGUUCUCACACAUUAGCACAGGGCCGCAAGGUUCUGAUGUUUACGCUUGUAUGUUUGACAGAGUUAGUUGAGAAUAAACAAAGACAACUUUUAACAAUGGAUCUCUUGGCUCUUGCAUCGAUGAAGAACGCAGC
RNAcentral lists this unclassified non-coding RNA (451 nucleotides) under uncultured fungus. Its description in RNAcentral is "partial contains small subunit ribosomal RNA, internal transcribed spacer 1, and 5.8S ribosomal RNA". The stretch from base 1 to 73 matches the Rfam family "Eukaryotic small subunit ribosomal RNA", at positions 1759 to 1831 of the family's 1831-position model. The record is from RNAcentral. Lineage: Eukaryota; Fungi.